CGAGAUGGCGACAUGGAGCAAAUCCCAAAAACAGCGCCCCAGUUCGGAUUGCAGGCUGCAACCCGCCUGCAUGAAGCCGGAAUCGCUAGUAAUCGCGGAUCAGAAUGCCGCGGUGAAUACGUUCCCGGGUCUUGUACACACCGCCCGUCACACCAUGGGAGCCGGGAAUGCCCGAAGUCAGUGGCCCAACCGAAAGGGGGGAGCUGCCGAAGGCAGGCCUGGUGACUGGGGUGAAGUCGUAACAAGGUAUC
RNAcentral lists this ribosomal RNA (251 nucleotides) under uncultured bacterium. RNAcentral's name for it is "partial 16S ribosomal RNA". It matches the Rfam family "Bacterial small subunit ribosomal RNA", at positions 1250 to 1500 of the family's 1533-position model. The record is from RNAcentral.